UACGUAGGGGGCAAGCGUUGUCCGGAAUCAUUGGGCGUAAAGAGCGCGUAGGCGGUCCGGUAAGUCGGUUGUGAAAACUGGGGGCUCAACCCUCAGAGGCCGACCGAUACUGUCGGGCUAGAGUCCGGAAGAGGCGAGUGGAAUUCCUGGUGUAGCGGUGAAAUGCGCAGAUAUCAGGAGGAACACCUAUUGCGAAGGCAGCUCGCUGGGACGUAACUGACGCUGAGACGCGAAAGCGUGGGGAGCAAACAGG
This 253-nucleotide ribosomal RNA is filed under the name uncultured bacterium. RNAcentral describes it as "partial 16S ribosomal RNA". It matches the Rfam family "Bacterial small subunit ribosomal RNA", at positions 524 to 776 of the family's 1533-position model. The record is from RNAcentral.